This 251-nucleotide ribosomal RNA is filed under the name uncultured bacterium. Its description in RNAcentral is "partial 16S ribosomal RNA". It matches the Rfam family "Bacterial small subunit ribosomal RNA", at positions 525 to 775 of the family's 1533-position model. The record is from RNAcentral.
ACGUAGGUGGCAAGCGUUAUCCGGAAUUACUGGGUGUAAAGGGAGCGCAGGCGGGAUAGCAAGUCAGUUGUGAAAACUAUGGGCUCAACCCAUAAACUGCAGUUGAAACUGUUAUUCUUGAGUGGAGUAGAGGCAAGCGGAAUUCCGAGUGUAGCGGUGAAAUGCGUAGAUAUUCGGAGGAACACCAGUGGCGAAGGCGGCUUGCUGGGCUCUAACUGACGCUGAGGCUCGAAAGUGUGGGGAGCAAACAG